AUGCAGCAACGCCGCGUGAGGGAUGACGGCCUUCGGGUUGUAAACCUCUUUUAGCAGGGAAGAAGCGAAAGUGACGGUACCUGCAGAAAAAGCGCCGGCUAACUACGUGCCAGCAGCCGCGGUAAUACGUAGGGCGCAAGCGUUAUCCGGAAUUAUUGGGCGUAAAGAGCUCGUAGGCGGUUUGUCGCGUCUGCUGUGAAAUCCCGAGGCUCAACCUCGGGCCUGCAGUGGGUACGGGCAGACUAGAGUGCGGUAGGGGAGAUUGGAAUUCCUGGUGUAGCGGUGGAAUGCGCAGAUAUCAGGAGGAACACCGAUGGCGAAGGCAGAUCUCUGGGCCGUAACUGACGCUGAGGAGCGAAAGGGUGGGGAGCAAACAGGAUUAGAUACCCUGG
This 392-nucleotide ribosomal RNA is filed under the name Microbacterium sp. DN19. RNAcentral describes it as "bacterial SSU rRNA". It matches the Rfam family "Bacterial small subunit ribosomal RNA", at positions 386 to 790 of the family's 1533-position model. Lineage: Bacteria; Bacillati; Actinomycetota; Actinomycetes; Micrococcales; Microbacteriaceae. The record is from RNAcentral.